This 366-nucleotide ribosomal RNA is filed under the name uncultured organism. Its description in RNAcentral is "bacterial SSU rRNA". It matches the Rfam family "Bacterial small subunit ribosomal RNA", at positions 526 to 896 of the family's 1533-position model. The record is from RNAcentral.
CGUAGGGUCCAAGCGUUAUCCGGAUUUAUUGGGCGUAAAGCGUUGCGUAGGCGGUUUGUUAAGUCUUUCUUAAAGCCCGAAGCUUAACUUCGGAUCUGGGGAAGAUACUGGCAGGCUUGAGAGAUAGAGGGGGAGAUGGAAUUGUUGGUGAAGCAGUGAAAUGCGUUGAUAUCAACAAGAACACCAAAGGCGAAGGCAGUCUCCUGGCUAUUUUCUGACGCUCAUGCACGAAAGCUAGGGUAGUGAAGCAGAUUAGAGACCUGCGUAAUCCUAGCCGUAAACGAUGGACACUAGAUAGUGGUUUACAUCACUGUCGUAAAGCUAACGCGUUAAGUGUCCCGCCUGGGGAGUACGGUCGCAAGACUA